RNAcentral lists this non-coding RNA (108 nucleotides) under Hymenobacter roseosalivarius. RNAcentral's name for it is "SAM-I sequence". It matches the Rfam family "SAM riboswitch aptamer (S box leader)". From Rfam's summary of the family: The SAM riboswitch is found upstream of a number of genes which code for proteins involved in methionine or cysteine biosynthesis in Gram-positive bacteria. The record is from RNAcentral. Lineage: Bacteria; Pseudomonadati; Bacteroidota; Cytophagia; Cytophagales; Hymenobacteraceae. RNAcentral also lists the same sequence under 1 other name.
UACUUAUCCAGAAAGACCGAGGGACUGGGCCCUGUGACGUCUUGGCAACCUGAGUAAAACAAGGUGCCAACUCCCAUUUUGCCCCCCACGGGCAGAAGAAGAUAAGUG